RNAcentral lists this long non-coding RNA (1217 nucleotides) under Struthio camelus australis. RNAcentral's name for it is "lncRNA (ENSSCUG00000000608.1)". The record is from RNAcentral. Lineage: Eukaryota; Metazoa; Chordata; Aves; Struthioniformes; Struthionidae.
CUUCUGCAAACAGUAGAAUUGAAUAAAAUCCUGUAUCACUUCAAGUUUAUGCAGCAAUAUUGUUAGAUGUGAAACGCUGCCUGAAAGAAAGUGUGUCCCAGUGUGGCUCCACUGCUUAAAUGAGAAAGUGCUGAAAAUCUGUCCUUCACUCCAAUGGGAUCUAUACAAGUAGUAUUCGUCAUCCACAGUGAUGUUUUUGGAGCGGGAAGAUGUAAUGUAAUGCUGAUGAUGCAACCCCAGACAGUCAUUUCUGUGUAAUAGCUUCAGGCUCAGAAAGCCUGAUCUGCCUCCUGAACAACCGUCACAGGCUUCGCCCCCACGUCUGCGUGGAUGAGGGGACCCAGGAACCAGUUGGAGAAUCAGGAGUUUGCUUAAACUUUAGCGAUAUCUUUCACCUUGAAAUAUUGAUCCCCUAGCUAUAUGCUGCGAUAAAGUUUGCAUUAGAAAUACUGGUACUUUCAGCAUCUCUUGGCUCAGUCUGCAUGUUACUGGCUACUACAGUUUUGUUUUAUCCUUCACUUUGUUAUAGGAUAUCUGCAUCACAUACAGAGUAUAAAAAGGAAUGGAGCGAAUGAGUAAUGCAGCCCUAGUGGGAUUAAAGGCAGAAUUAGGAGACUUUUCUGCUUGAAACAGGUUUAUUUGAUUCAUUUUUAGUGCUUGCUGUUAUAAAGGACAGAGAUCAACAACAACAUAAGACAAGAAUCAGAUUAUUCCUUUGUUAUCCUGCUGUACACAAAGCUGUAACAACAUUUACAAAAUAGUAAUGAAUGACAUUGUUUUCUAGAUGAGACUGUGUGGACUUAUGACAGCUUUCUGCUUCAUUUUUUGUGUUCUAAGCACAAGCAAAGAUGACUAUCUGCAAAAAUAUUAAAUAUAUGACUUCUGAAGAAUCUCAGAAAGGUUAAGAAUUACAGUAUUAACCAUUCCAUCUUCGUUCCACUGAGAAUUUCCAUGAUAAGUUUGCACAGAAAAUUUGAUUUUCUGUGUAUAGAUGCAAGAGAUUUUACCACUUUUCCGUAAAACCUCUUUAAUGGUCUAAGCUAACAUGGUAAAUGUUAAGUAUCUUUGGAAAAGUUUUGAAAAACUACUGCCACAAAAUUAAUCUGAGGCUGAACAAUUUGAAUUUUUUGUCCUUAUAAUCAAAAGCUAAGAGGAAAAAUUCGGAAAAAAAAAAAACUUGCUUUGUUGUUGGAAGCUGGAAAAUUGUUUGACCUGUG